This 1891-nucleotide long non-coding RNA is filed under the name Capra hircus (goat). RNAcentral's name for it is "lncRNA (ENSCHIG00000001517.1)". The record is from RNAcentral. Lineage: Eukaryota; Metazoa; Chordata; Mammalia; Artiodactyla; Bovidae.
CAGGCUGUUGGCACGGAAAUAACUCAGAGACUGGUCAGUCCAGGGCAGGGUGCUGAAGUCCAGAGAUGGGAAGAGGGUAUCUCAGGUCAGGGUAGGCUGACUUGCCCCCUCACCGCCUCUGAUCUGCCUUCUCCAGCAUCUUCCUGCAGUGUCUUCGGGGUCUUCAAAUCUUUCUGCAAUAGGAAUUUUGUUCCCAAAUGCCAAACAAGACUUGGUGCAGGUAGAAUUCAUUGUGUCUGACCCAGCAUAUACCUCGGGAUAGUGAGCAGUCCCUUUGUGGCCCUGAGCUGUGGUACAAGAGCAACCUGUGGACCCCCAGGGCAAAAGGUCUCUGUUGCACUGGUCCAGGAAGCUGGGUUUUGAUUUGAUCCAAUGGAGUCUCCUUAACUUUCCUAAAGAAAGGUCCCUCUGCUAUUAGAGAGAUCACCUCUCCUUUCUCAGAGCAGUACUCUCAUUUUCAAACCAGCAUCCUCACCAAAUGGCGAAGAUCACAACGUUGGAACUAGCUUGGGCUCAGAUCCAGUCUGCCCUUGAUCGUCUGGUGUAUCUAAUAUCUCUGGGCUCCUGUUUCCUGCUCCUAAAGUGGAACCAACAACACUGCUUGACCAGGGCUGUUAGAAAGCCAAGACCACGAAUGAGAAAUGUUGACCACCGUGACCACACACAGCUGGCGCUGUGCAGACAGGAGUGCCUCCCUUCUCAGAGCUCCACCUUCCCCUCUGCAAGGGAAUGAAUCUCCAAUCAUUUUACCCUGAUGGGCCCCAUCUACUGCCUGCCUCACAAUGACUAAGAAAACACAAAUAUAGAAGAAAAAAUACAUUCAUGAAAUGAACACAGCAUGCGGAAUCAAAGAUCUCGACCUAUGAGAAAACGUAACUCAGAAAAGGGAAGGGAAUGUGUCAUCAGGGUUUCAUGCUAUAGAAUGACUUGAUAGGAAUAUGAAUUUAAAAUGUAAAAGUUCAAACAAAAAAUAAUAAAACAACAGCAGGAGAUGAAAAAGAAAAUUUAGACGUAGGGUCCCAGUAGGAAACAGAAGCACACUGAUGGGAUUUAAUUACAGGGCGAGGGAUGUCACCCGAGUGCUGGUGACAGCAGGGAGCUGUGCCAGCCCCAGGCCCGCAAGGGCAGGCAAAGAGCCGGUGUCAUCAGGAGCAUGAAAGAAGGGCCCACCCGCCGUGGAGGACGCUGAGAGAGAUGGGCUGUGAGCUGGGUGCUGGCUGCCUUGAAUGAAACUGAGGUUUACAGCUGAGAGUGAAGAGGAGGAUGUGAAUUGGGUAAACACAACAAUCCCUGCCACAAAUAGGCAACCUUUCCUCACUCUGCAAGUGCUGAGCACAUUGUGAAGGAUGAGGGGAAGGAGAAGAAAAGAAAGACGAAAGUGACGUAGAUGCCAAUAUUUAAAGAUUUGCAGUCUGAUAUGGAGACAAAUAUGUAAUCAAUGGGUUUCUCAGGGUCUCUGCUGCCCUCAUUAAAGUGUGUCUAAGGAUUGAUGUACACACACUAUUGUAUUUACAACAGAUAACCAACAAAGACCUGCUGUAGAGCACAGGGAACUCUGCUCAAUAUUCUGUAAUAACCUAAAGGGGAAAAGAAUUUGAAAAAGAAUAGAUGUAUGUAUAUAUAGACAUAUAUAUAUCAGAGAAGGCGAUGGCACCCCACUCCAGUAUGCUUGCCUGGAAACUCCCAUGGACGGAGGAGCCUGGUGGACUGCAGUCCAUGGGGUCGUGAACAGUCGGAUAUGACUGAGCGACUUCACUUUCACUUUUCACUUUCACGCAUUGGAGAAGGAACUGGCAACCCACUCCAGUGUUCUUGCCUGGAGAAUCCCAGGGCUGGGGGAGCCUGGUGGGCUGCUGUCCAUGGUGUCGCACAGAGUCGGACACGACUGAAG